UAGAUGCUGUCAAGGACCAACUUGUGAACU
This 30-nucleotide non-coding RNA is filed under the name Rattus norvegicus (Norway rat). The record is from RNAcentral. Lineage: Eukaryota; Metazoa; Chordata; Mammalia; Rodentia; Muridae.